Molecule: long non-coding RNA, 3275 nt
Organism: Oreochromis aureus
Lineage: Eukaryota; Metazoa; Chordata; Actinopteri; Cichliformes; Cichlidae
Source: Ensembl
CUUAAAGUUGCAUCUCCAGCGUCAGACCGAAAAAUAUCAUAAAAAUAAAAUUUUAGCUCAUGUAUCUGUCAUAAAAAAUAAGCUUAACAGUGAGUUUGUGAUAUCUAAAUAACCGGAAUAUCAAGAAAGGCGGAGGAAAAAAGAGGAAAAAAGAAAUAAAAACUCAGUCGAAUUAAGAAUGACUUGAUUGGUAGCUGGGAAGGCAACGUUUACAGAGGGCGGGGCUUCACUGUCCCGGCUCACUGAAGACGACAGCGGUAUAUCUGAUAGAGGAAACCGUAGGAGCAUGAAGUUUGUUUUUGUGCUCUAUUUGUGUGUUUCCUUUUUUUCAUUUGUGAGGAUGUAGCGCCGUCCUUCACUCGCUCAGCAGCACCAGAGUUUUAUUCCCACGGUGCCCUGUCCACAGUCAUCGCAGGGUAAGCGGGGAGAAGAUGAUUUGCAGGAUCCUGCUGCUCAUCAUCCUCACCUCAUGUGUCUCUGGAUCAUUUGUAGUCAAUGUGACACAGACCUCCUAUCAGGCAGAGGAGAACCACAACAUCACACUGGAGUGGACGUUCACCACCAACCCUGACAACUCCACAAACUCUGCUUCCAUCAUCUGCCAACAGAUGACUAAUUAUAAAACCUUUGGCUUCUAUCAUGUGUCCAAUGAUGUUGAGGUGUCAGAGUCUCAGGAUGAAAAGUUUUCAGGACGAGUCCAGAGUGACAAAGACGCCCUCAGAGAAGGACGAAUCAGACUUCAACUGUCCAGACUCAGGACUGAUGACUCGGGUCUGUACCUGUGUGAGGUCAACACUGAUUAUGGCUUCAGUUCUGCCAGAUGCAGAGUCAGUGUUUCUGGUGCUGAAAGUCGAAAUAAGAACUACUGGGAUCAAGUUAAAAUUGUUCUGGGAGUUUUAGAGAGUGCACUUUUAAUAGUUAGUGGCAUGAUAGUUUUGAUCAUUGUUGCUGUUCAGGGUCUUGUGCAGUCUUUUAGAAAACAUAAGAUAGGAGGUCCUCUUUUAAAAUGAACUACUUCAUCUGCUAUGUUUUAUGUUGCUGCUUUCAAUCUGAAUGUUUUCUGACAAAAAAAAACCAUACAAUUAAAGCCAACUAAAGAUGUUCUCUAUAAGGAAGUAUCGUAGAUUCUCUUCUUCAUGUUAGAUUAAAACCAAAAAUAUCUUUGUUUAAAUACAAGCUUUUGUAUAUUCAAAAAUUCACUGCACUUCUUUCACUAACGUUCAUUAUUGACUCCACGAUUUGUUCCAACUUCCAACUCAGCUUUCAGCAUUAGCUUCUCAGUGAGCACGCACAUUAUUAUUUAACUAAAAUAAAGAUGACUUGUUUACUGUGUCAAUGCCAAAUUCAUUCUCUGCCAAUUUAUUUCCAUGUUCUUCUGCAACUGUCAAAGUUUUCAGUUUAGAGCUCAUAAUGUAGCAGGAGUUUUUAACCACUUAAUUGCUUCAUUCUUCAAAGCUUGGUCUUUCUGCUUAUUUAACAUAUUUAGCCAUGUUAUUUAUAUAAGAGUUUACUUUUCUCUCAGACAGCUGAUGGACCAGAAGCGUUAUGGAAAUAACAAACAAUUUUCUAAAUAAAAAAUAAAAAUAUAUAAAGAAAGAGAAAGGAAAAAUACACAAAAAUAUUAUGCAUCAAUAAAUUUACUUUUUUUUAGGACAUUUCUGGUAUCUAAUGUUUCUAUUUAACACUGACCUAUGGAUCAUUCAAACAUUAAACAGUCACCUAACUCAGGGGAUGAACCACUGCUAUGUCUAUGGAUAACAGACCGCUUACAAAAGAACUAAUUUUAAAUUAUUAAGGCAAUUUAUAUAUGGCAGUCUGUUACAAGACAAAACACACCUGUCCCCAUUAAGUUGAAUCUACAAAAAAAUCCAAAGAUGGCAGAGUUUGACAAACAUAAAAUAGAAUUUUUUUUGCAGGAACAAGGCGAUUCUCAAAGAGCUAUUGGCUGAAACAAAAGAAACAAAAGAAGAGGCAGGCCAAUAGUUCACAGCCAAACCAGACAGAUCCUGGAUCUACAUCUUCAUACUCUGUGGCCUGAAAACUGGUCCUAAAGACUAAGUCUUGUUUCAUGUUUUGAAGAUGUUGAUGUGUCAGAGUCUCAGGAUGAAAACUUUUUCAGGACGAGUCCAGAGUGACAAAGACGCCCUCAGAGAAGGACGAAUCAGACUUCAACUGUCCAGACUCAGGACUGAUGACUCGGGUCUAUAUAUUCAAAGUGAACACAGACCAUGACUGAUUUGAUAGCUGCAGGCUCCAUGUUCCUGGCAAGGUCUUUUCUUUCCUAAUAUGUGUACUAUAUAUAAAUCUAUUGUGUAUUGAAACAAACAUUAUUAGGUGAAAUUCAGAUAUUCUACAGCUUAAUUUUCAGUGUAAACCAAUUCCAUAAACAUUUAUGAUACACAUGUUGAUGUCCUUCACCAAACAGUGGCCUCUGAUCAGCUAGAGGCAGAACCUCAAGGGAGAACCAUUUCUUUAUGUUAGACUGCAGCUAGUAGCAGCCCUUAUGGCUUUCUGUGUUUUUUGUAUUAUAUGGAGAAAACAGUAAAUGAAACACAAACAGUCUGACUUCAUUUUACAAAAUAAGUCAUUAAACCUUUACUUCAGGAGAUUUUGGAACAGGCAUUUUUGUACAUUAGACUGAGAGCUACAGGAGCUCUACCAGCUGUGUUUAACUCCAACUUUAACACAGAUAUAAGUGAAGCUGUAGAGAUGUUUGUUGUGUGCACUUACAUAAUAUGUACAUAAUAUUAAGUAUAAUGUCCUUUGCUACACACAACUCCAUGACAGUUUACAACACGUCAGAUCAUCUUCAUUGUUAACAUAAUUAAUCUGAAUCCUUUCAACAUUACAACAGUAAACACAUUAAACACUGAAUUUAUAUCUGCUGCACGUGGUGCGUGAGGUAGAGGUGUUUCCCUGUGUGAUUACAGUAAAGUGAACACAGUGCACAUUUCAUCAUCUGUCUGAUGAGUGACAAUUUGAUAAUGUGUCUUAAACAAAUAAACAAACAAAAAAACGAAGAUAAAAAAAAUCAAUUUGAUGUCCAUUAUUGUGUAUCAUGACACUUAUUCUCUGGCCAGCAUGUGUCCUAAUGCACUGUCUGUUAAAUAACAAUUAAAAUGCAGUUUUUAUCAGCUUUGAACCCCCAUGAGUACAUCCAUCAGGAUGUUAAACAGAUUUCAUUUAAAUAUUGGAGUUUUUAGCUUAUAUGAGUCUUACCUUUAUGGUGUUCAACUCUGGGAAAAGGGACGUCUCACCAUUGACAGUUUAAUAUC